RNAcentral lists this long non-coding RNA (1728 nucleotides) under Medicago truncatula (barrel medic). RNAcentral describes it as "long non-coding RNA (MTRU_LNC005141)". Lineage: Eukaryota; Viridiplantae; Streptophyta; Magnoliopsida; Fabales; Fabaceae. The record is from RNAcentral.
AUAGAAAGCAAAAAGAGAAACGAAAAAGAAUUCUAAGAAAAAGAAGAUAAGGAUAUUUGGUUAAGCCAUUAAAUUACCUACUGUAAUUCAUGAUCCAAAGUAUUAUAUAUAAGUAAAAAUAAAAUUAGAGAAGGCACUCUAGGGCAACAAUAUUAAUAAUUGUUCACAUUUUUCUACAUUAAAAUUGCAUAUCUCAUACUAUCAUUUACCAUAAUAUGAUUGAUCUCAGAAAUUUGGCCAAAUUCACCAGUGGACCAAACCCCAUCAGAACCAUUAACACGAGGAUUAGAGAGACAAGAAAGUAUUGAAAUUGGUGCUUGAAGAAUAGCAUAUAUAACUGAAAAACCACUCCAUCCAUGCCCAUGCUGUCUUCUUCCUCUUUCACCUCCAAACAUUGCUACUUCAACCCCCCUAUUCCCUUCUUCAAACAUGUUCUCAUCUGCCACCUUAGAACUCUUCUUCAUCUUAUAAAUAUUAAUCCUUCUCACUGCAGCUACAAGAUGCCACAUCUACAAUUUGAUAAAAUUGAAUUUAGAAGAGACAAUAAUUAUGUAAGUACUACUUACUAGCUUUGAUUAUUUUGAAUGAUAUUUUUCAAUAUAAAGAUAUGAUGAACUUUGAAGAAGAAAUUGAUUAUAUGAUUGAAAGGGUCAACCUCUAUUUAUGAGGGUUAAAUGAUAAUGGUAUUAAGUGGUGGUAUUGCUAGUGCUAGUGUUUAUCACCAAAGUUUUUUAUGGGUAUCUUUUAGUUUAAAGAGCCAACCAACUAUCACUAGCAUAUUUUUUUUAUUCAUUGAUAAUUAUAUGUGGGGUCUAUUCAAGCCCAACAUGCCGACAAACCUACCUAAUAGUACAAAUUAUAGUCUUCAUUUGUCAAAUUAUGGGUUUACAACUUUACAUAAUAGAUUUGCUAUAUACAUAUAGUUAUAUACUGAUUUACUAUUUUACCUAACAAAAGGGUCAAGCUUUUUGAGGUAUAGUUCUGUUCAUUUUGUGGUAUAAAUUAAAGGGUCUCAACAAAUUGAAGCUAAAUGACAAAAAAGCUAGAUAGCUAUAGAUAUUAUCAAAAGUGUGGUAAUUCUAAUCAAUCAUUUGGAUGAGUAACUUUAUCAAGAAAGAAUCAUCAAUUACCCUCCAAUGAUUUUUCUUUGUAUGACAUUGCAUUGCAUUGCAUUGUAUGGUAACAAAUUAUGAUUGUUGAUGCAAAGUUGUAUAGAUUCCCCACAAAUUUAGUCUGUGUUGGGGAAUCAAUGCCGAUACCUAUAUGUGAUGGAGACAUAUGUGGUGGCAUAGAUUAGUACCAUUUCUCCACUAAAGAUUAAGACUCUCAUGGUUAUCUAUUAUCUAUAUUCCUUUCUUGAACCUUGAAGAAAGCCAAGAUACGGAUAGAUAUGCAUAUUAUUUUAAACUAAUAAUUAGAAAAAUCAUGGUAUUGGAUUUUAAACUAACCAAAUAAGUUUUGUAUAAUAUAUCUUAAUAUGGUACAUGAUCUUUGUACUUAGGGGUGGUCCUUGGGGACAACUUGAUGAUGCCAAAGAUCAACUAGCUGGCCAUAGUGGUCCCUCACUAGGAAAUAAGAUAUUUUUUUGGUGAAGGGUAUGGGGCAAAAACCCUAACAAGAAACUAGAUUAGAGAACAUGCAGGAAGGAAACUUGGUUGACAUCGGGAGUUCGAAAUGAAAGUCAGUACUUUAUUAACACAAUAAUGUUAAGUUGAUGCUUUUUUUUUC